This 369-nucleotide ribosomal RNA is filed under the name uncultured organism. RNAcentral's name for it is "bacterial SSU rRNA". It matches the Rfam family "Bacterial small subunit ribosomal RNA", at positions 526 to 896 of the family's 1533-position model. The record is from RNAcentral.
CGAAGGAUGCAAGCGUUAUCCGGAUUCAUUGGGUUUAAAGGGUGCGUAGGCGGACUGAUAAGUCAGUGGUGAAAUCUCUCAGCUUAACUGAGAAACUGCCAUUGAUACUGUUGGUCUAGAGUAUAGAUGACGUUGGCGGAAUAUGACAUGUAGUGGUGAAAUACUUAGAUAUGUCAUAGAACACCGAUUGCGAAGGCAGCUAACGAAACUAUAACUGACGCUGGGGCACGAAAGUGCGGGGAUCAAACAGGAUUAGAUACCCUGGUAGUCCGCACCGUAAACGAUGAUUACUCGUUGUUGGCGAUAUGACAGUCAGCGACCAAGCGAAAGCGAUAAGUAAUCCACCUGGGGAGUACGCCGGCAACGGUG